RNAcentral lists this ribosomal RNA (429 nucleotides) under uncultured archaeon. Its description in RNAcentral is "bacterial SSU rRNA". It matches the Rfam family "Archaeal small subunit ribosomal RNA", at positions 474 to 903 of the family's 1478-position model. The record is from RNAcentral.
UACCUGCAGCUCGAGUGGUAACCGCUAUUAUUGGGCCUAAAGCGUCCGUAGCCGGUUUGGUAAAUAUCUGGGUAAAUCGUGAGGCUUAACUUCACGAAUUUCGGAUAGACUGCCAGACUUGGGAUCGGGGGAGGUCAGAGGUACUCCAGGGGUAGCGGUGAAAUGUUGUAAUCCUUGGAGGACCACCGGUAGCGAAGGCGUCUGACUAGAACGAGUCCGACGGUGAGGGACGAAGCCCUGGGGCGCAAACCGGAUUAGAUACCCGGGUAGUCCAGGGUGUAAACGAUGUGGGCUUUGUAUUGGAGGUCCCACGUGGGCGUCCAGUGCAGAAGAGAAGUUGUUAAGCCCACCGCCUGGGAAGUACGGUCGCAAGGCUGAAACUUAAGGGAAUUGGCGGGGGAGCACAGCAACGGGAGGAGCGUGCGGUUU